UAAUAACCUUGUUAGGUGAGGCUCCUAUACAAACAUAGGCUAUUGCCCAGAAACGUCGAAAGUCGCCAAUGGGUAAAACAGAAACUGUCGGAUUAAGGCUUUUUCCAAUAGCUAAGAAUGUUUUCUUUACGUUGUAUAGUGCUAAAACUCGGACGAUGAGAUGAUGCUA
Enterococcus faecium is the source of this 169-nucleotide non-coding RNA. The record is from Rfam. NCBI's taxonomy places the organism in Bacteria, Bacillati, Bacillota, Bacilli, Lactobacillales, Enterococcaceae.